RNAcentral lists this ribosomal RNA (253 nucleotides) under uncultured bacterium. RNAcentral's name for it is "partial 16S ribosomal RNA". It matches the Rfam family "Bacterial small subunit ribosomal RNA", at positions 524 to 776 of the family's 1533-position model. The record is from RNAcentral.
UACAGAGGGUGCAAGCGUUAAUCGGAAUUACUGGGCGUAAAGCGAGCGUAGUCGGUUAUUUAAGUCGGAUGUGAAAGCCCCGGGCUCAACCUGGGAAUUGCACUCGAUACUGGAUAGCUAGAGUUCGGCAGAGGGAAGCGGAAUUUCCGGUGUAGCGGUGAAAUGCGUAGAUAUCGGGAAGAACAUCGGUGGCGAAGGCGCUCUGCUGGACCAUAACUGACACUCAGGGACGAAAGCUAGGGGAGCGAAUGGG